GAUUCAAACUUCUUACAUUUUCACCAUAGAAACCGAUAUUCAAGUAGUUCUACAAAAAUGGUACAACUUUUAUUUGCACUUUUGUCAAUAGAAUUAACAGUAAUUCUAAUACUAUCUUUUGCAAAUCCAAUACGAAAAUUAAUGGUGAAGGUGUUAGACCUUUUGAAGCGUGGAAGGGGUCCAUUAAUCAUAAAAACUAUAGCAACCACUGUAUUUAUUGUAUUUGGUUCCACCAUAUAUACUAUACUCAAAAUCCAUAAACGUUCAAUGGAUGCUGGCAUGGUUAAUCCAACAGAGGAAGUUCUAAUGGCACAUCAUCUCUUAGAAGCAUCUCUUAUGGAUGGAAAAAGGAUGAGAUAAAGAGCAUGAGAUCCGUGCUAAUGGGGGAGAAUACUUGGACACGUGAAGGCUUGAUGUAACUAUCCUAAUAUUAUUGGUGUAAUUCAACCGAGAACCUUCUUGGACUCACGAGUGUUGAAUGAAACUAUAUUGAUAUUAUCCGGAUGGUUUACAAGUGUUAUAUGGGGACAAGAAAUCAAGAAUGAGUGGCACUACUUCUUUAGAUGCACAAAAGUGGAAGAGAAUUGGCAUGAAGAUGGGAUGUGGAACUAGAGAAGAAAAAUAAAAUUCUUAGAAAAGGAAUAUGUGCAUAAAUAUUGAGUAUUGAGUCUUGUUAUUUAGUCUUGUAGGUUGAUGUUUCAACAUAAAUGUAUAGGGACCAAAACAUUAAUAUAACAGAAAUUUUCCUUAAUCUUGUUCAUGCUUUUAAGCUUUCCGCAAAACAAGAUCUAACAACAUUAAUUAUU
Long non-coding RNA from Medicago truncatula (barrel medic), 806 nucleotides. RefSeq lists it as uncharacterized. Lineage: Eukaryota; Viridiplantae; Streptophyta; Magnoliopsida; Fabales; Fabaceae. The record is from RefSeq and is a predicted model, not a curated record. The transcript has 3 exons.